GAUGAAGAACAUAGCGAAAUGCGAUAAGUAAUGUGAAUUGCAGAAUUCAGUGAAUCAUCGAAUCUUUGAACGCACAUUGCGCCCCCUGGUAUUCCGGGGGGCAUGCCUGUCCGAGCGUCAUUACAACCCUCAAGCUCAGCUUGGUGUUGGGCCCCGCCGCCCCGGCGGGCCCUAAAGUCAGUGGCGGUGCCGUCCGGCUCCGAGCGUAGUAAUUCUUCUCGCUCUGGAGGUCCGGUCGUGUGCUCGCCAGCAACCCCCAAUUUUUUUCAGGUUGACCUCGGAUCAGGUAGGGAUACCCGCUGAACUUAAGCAUAUCAAUAAGCGGAGGA
RNAcentral lists this unclassified non-coding RNA (329 nucleotides) under soil metagenome. RNAcentral describes it as "partial contains 5.8S ribosomal RNA, internal transcribed spacer 2, and large subunit ribosomal RNA". The stretch from base 1 to 120 matches the Rfam family "5.8S ribosomal RNA", at positions 35 to 154 of the family's 154-position model. The record is from RNAcentral.